UGCAUAAUGAGCCUACGAGUUACUCCUCAGUAGCAAGGUUAAUUCCAUUGAUGGAAGCAGCCGAAGCGAAAGCAAGUCUUAACAGGGCGCUUAGUUACUGGGGGUAGACGCGAAACUUAGUGAUCUACCCAUGGCCAGGUUGAAGCUCCGUUAACCCGGAGUGGAGGACCGAACCCGUUGACGUUGAAAAGUCUUGGGAUGAGCUGUGGGUAGGGGUGAACGGCCAAUCAAACUG
Molecule: ribosomal RNA, 235 nt
Filed under: Symbiodinium sp. clade D
Lineage: Eukaryota; Dinophyceae; Suessiales; Symbiodiniaceae
Description: partial Bacterial large subunit ribosomal RNA
Rfam family: Bacterial large subunit ribosomal RNA
Source: RNAcentral